UACGUAGGGACCAAGCGUUGUUCGGAUUUACUGGGCGUAAAGGGCGCGUAGGCGGCAUGACAAGUCACUUGUGAAAUCUCCGGGCUUAACUCGGAACGGCCAAGUGAAACUGUCAAGCUAGAGUGCAGAAGGGGCAAUCGGAAUUCUUGGUGUAGCGGUGAAAUGCGUAGAGAUCUGGAGGAACACCGAUGGCGAAGGCAGCCCCCUGGGCCAGCACUGACGCUGAUACACGAAAGCGUGGGGAGCAAACAGG
Molecule: ribosomal RNA, 253 nt
Filed under: uncultured prokaryote
Description: partial 16S ribosomal RNA
Rfam family: Bacterial small subunit ribosomal RNA
Source: RNAcentral